Molecule: transfer RNA, 60 nt
Filed under: Romanomermis iyengari
Lineage: Eukaryota; Metazoa; Nematoda; Enoplea; Mermithida; Mermithidae
Description: tRNA-Cys
Source: RNAcentral
UAUAAAACCUGUUAAAGAAAACUAAUCAUUUGCAAAAUGAGUAUUAUAAAUCUUUUAAAC